AACGCACAUUGCGCCCCUUGGUAUUCCGAGGGGCAUGCCUGUCCGAGCGUCAUUUCAACCCUCAAGCACAGCUUGGUCUUGGGCUUCGCUGCUAACCCAGCGGGUCUUAAAAUCAGUGGCGGUGCCGUCGGGCCCUGAGCGCAGUAAUUCUUCUCGCUAUAGGGUCCCGGUGGAUACUGGCCAUCAACCCCCAAUCUUCUAUGGUUGACCUCGGAUCAGGUAGGGAUACCCGCUGAACUUAA
This 242-nucleotide unclassified non-coding RNA is filed under the name Cortinarius sp. RNAcentral describes it as "partial contains 5.8S ribosomal RNA, internal transcribed spacer 2, and large subunit ribosomal RNA". The stretch from base 1 to 52 matches the Rfam family "5.8S ribosomal RNA", at positions 103 to 154 of the family's 154-position model. The record is from RNAcentral. RNAcentral also lists the same sequence under 1 other name. Lineage: Eukaryota; Fungi; Basidiomycota; Agaricomycetes; Agaricales; Cortinariaceae.